This 497-nucleotide ribosomal RNA is filed under the name uncultured bacterium. RNAcentral's name for it is "partial 16S ribosomal RNA". It matches the Rfam family "Bacterial small subunit ribosomal RNA", at positions 28 to 507 of the family's 1533-position model. The record is from RNAcentral.
GAUGAACGCUGGCGGCGUGCCUAAUACAUGCAAGUCGAGCGAACAGACGAGGAGCUUGCUCCUCUCACGUUAGCGGCGGACGGGUGAAUAACACGUGGAUAACCUACCUAUAAGACUGGGAUAACUUCGGGAAACCGGAGCUAAUACCGGAUAAUCUAUUGAACCGCGGGGUUCAUUAGUAAAUGACGGUUUUGCGGUCUCUUAUAGAGGGUUCCGCGCUGCAUUGGCUGGUUGGUAAGGUAACGGCUUACCAAGGCAACGAUGCGUGGACGACCGGAUAGGGGGGUCGGCCACACUGGAACUGAGACGCGGUCCAGACUCCUACGGGAGGGAGCAGUAGGGAAUCUUCCGCAAUGGGCGAAAGCCUGACGGAGCGACGCCGCGUGAGUGAUGAAGGUCUUCGGAUCGGAAAACUCUGUUAUUAGGGAAGAACAAAUGUGUAAGUAACUAUGCACGUCUUGACGGUACCUAAUCAGAAAGCCACGGCUAACUACGUG